GUGUGUGUGUGUGUGUGUGUGUGUGUGUCUGUGUGUGUGUGUGUUGUCUGACCUGAGGUGAUGUAAGAUGAGUGUCCUACAAGAGCGUGACAAGGUGAACGAUGUCUGCGGUAAGGAGGAGAAGGAGGAGAAAAGAUAAAAGUGGGAAGGAAGCGCAAGUACAGAAGCAGGGAGAGAAAACAGAGAAGGAGGCAUAGAUGGAACAGGGACAGGUUCAGAUGUUCUGGGAGGGGGAUGAGGGAAAAGUGAGAAUAUAAGGAAGAAAUGUUAAAAACAAGAAAUAGGCAAUGCAGUGAUAGAAUCUUGAUUUAUAUUUUAUCUGCACUGCCUAGUUUGACAGUUUCCUGCAUUGCGCUAGACCGGUAUGACUUGCCAAUCACAAGGUAACACACCCUUAAACAUACCCUUCUAUAUUGUUUAUUUUACUGAACAUCAUGCUGAAGACUUGAACUAACAAAUCAAGUGAGAAGCAGGGUAAUUUCGCCUAUACAUUAACUGCAACUGGUACUGAACCAUCAUAAAGAAUGCAGGUUUAAGGUACUUCCACAUUGAGCUCACUACUCAGACCUGGAAGUUGUUUUUUUGAGUUUCACAGCCACCAUAGUUUCUUCUAUGUUUGGAAGGUGAUCAGUAAGGUGGUUGCAAUCUGCAACUUCACUGCUAGAUGCCACCAAAUUCUAGACUGGUCCUUUAAACCAAUUGGAAUGCACAGGUGGGACUAAUUCUUCACAUAUGACUGGUUGAGACAUUUUUAUUGGCCCUUUUGACAUUGCAACUCUUGAAAACUAAAAAACAGAUUUUAGGGUAAAGGACAAUACAUUGGUAAAGUAUAUUGCUAUUUUCUAAACGUUUCUUUUUUCAACCAUUUCUUGUGACCUUGCAAUAAAAAAAAUUACCACAAAGAUUUGAAAACCAAAACAUUACAACAGUACCUAAAAGUAGAGAUAUUGGUAUUCAGGGCUUGGUCAAGAUAACCAUCCUCCUUAUUGGUUGACAAAGCAACACUUUUUCCAGUAUGCUUUGCAAAAACGUCAUUAUAAAAAAAUGAAUAACUCCCAUCAGCUGACUACACUAACACCAUUUGUAUAGUACAUGUACUUACAAUAUAUAGUUUUAAAUUAUUCACAUUGUCUAUCAAAUUGAAACUUUAA
Molecule: long non-coding RNA, 1151 nt
Filed under: Dicentrarchus labrax (European seabass)
Lineage: Eukaryota; Metazoa; Chordata; Actinopteri; Moronidae
Description: lncRNA (ENSDLAG00005030279.1)
Source: RNAcentral